UUUUACAUAAAAACACGGAUAUAUCUUUUCUUUUGACCGAAGUCAGCAGGGGAAGCUCCUACCUAUUUUUUUAUAAUUUUUAUUUUAGAUCCGUUUAAUUCGCUCCCAUAGGGAGUCGAACCCGAACAUGCUGGGUGCUACUCAGGUGCUCUAAUCACUAUGCUCAAAAAAUCACAUAAUCUUUAAAAGUAGCAUAUUUUGAUGAAUUUUAGUUUUAAGAUUUUAAAUGAUAUAUAUGUGUUUUUGUGUAAAAUGAGUUCAUCUCUAU
RNAcentral lists this long non-coding RNA (268 nucleotides) under Setaria viridis. RNAcentral's name for it is "long non-coding RNA (SVIR_LNC001955)". Lineage: Eukaryota; Viridiplantae; Streptophyta; Magnoliopsida; Poales; Poaceae. The record is from RNAcentral.